GAUGGACGCUAGCUACAGGCUUAACACAUGCAAGUCGAGGGGCAGCAUGGUCUUAGCUUGCUAAGGCCGAUGGCGACCGGCGUACGGGUGAGUAACACGUAUCCAACCUGCCGACUACUCUUGGACAGCCUUCUGAAAGGAAGAUUAAUACAAGCUGGCAUCAUGAGUUCACAUCUUCACAUGAUUAACGCUAUUCCGGUAGACGCUGGGGAUCCGUUCCAUUAGAUAGUCGGCGGGGUAACGGCCCACCUAGUCUUCGAUGGAUAGGGGUUCUGAGAGGAAGGCCCCCCACGUUGGAACUGAGACACGGUGCAAACGCCUACGGGAGGCAGCAGUGAGGAAUAUUGGGCAAUGGGGGAGAGCCUGAACCAGCCAAGUAGCGUGAAGGAUGACUGCCUUAUGGGUUGUAAACUUCUUUUAUAAAGGAAUAAGGUCGGGUAUGUAUACCCGUUUGCAUGUACUUUAUGAAUAAGGAUCGGCUAACUCCUUG
Molecule: ribosomal RNA, 490 nt
Filed under: uncultured bacterium
Lineage: Bacteria
Description: partial 16S ribosomal RNA
Rfam family: Bacterial small subunit ribosomal RNA
Source: RNAcentral